AGAGUCAAAACGCAGUGCAAAACAACUCUGAAACAGACUAUUUUGCAGGAAUGAACAAACUGUCCUUAUUUUUGCCAGUCAGAUCAGGAAGCUCAUUUGACUCUCCUCUUGAUUGUACAGUAGCUAGUGUUGACCUAAGUCAAACAGUGUAAAAAUAGGCACCAGUAAGCGUGGGGCUGCUCUCAUGAGGGCAAUACAGGCUUGAAGGAGAAUAUGCUGGUCAUAAAACCCUGUCUGUGUGGGAUCAAACUUCAAGACUUGAAAGAUGUUUUGCUCUGUCCACAAAAGAAGUGAUACAGAUCUCACUCAGUUUGAAUAUCUGAAACCCACUGUGCCCACUGUGAAGUUCAACUGCUUCUAUCUGACAUGAUAGAGGGAGCUCAAGAUCAUGAGUGCUCUUAUCCUGAAAUGAGUCUCAGAGGCUGUGAGACACCUCCUAGAGGGGCUACCGUGUAUUCUGGGAUGGGUCUAAUUCAGCCUAACCACCUCUACUUUGAAAGGACUAAAAUUAGGUGAGGUUGAUUCUUCCCAUUCCCCAACCCCCAGAGAAUCCAACGCGUUUCAGACUGCUGUGGCUCUCAUGUCUCAGAAGCAAAUGUUAAGGCCUUUAUUUAGCUGAGGGAUCCUCCUGUGUGUUCCGCCCAGACUCACAGGUGAAAACUUUACCUUGUUGACAGCAAAGGAGAGCUCUACAGCAAAUGAUUCUGGCCCAGAAAGCUAUUGGAUCCCCUGCAGUCCCUUUCUUGAAGUUACUUCAUGGGUUUAGCUGGACUUUCCUUCACAAACAAAAUUGGAGCAUGAUGGCUACUGGCAUGUUUGUGAAGAUCCAACCAAGAGGACCAGUGGGACUUUAAUCCCCACUAGAUGUGCCCACUCCCAGUCCUCAAGGCAAAAAAUACAGCACCCUGGGUGUUGGUUUGUGUGUCAGAGAAUUUGCACAUCCUGGUGGAGCUACCCUGCUGAACACGGCCUUGGAGGAGGUCUCACUUUGUGUAAUCAUCCACUCUAAAGCUUCUCCACAGCUUGAAAUUCAUUUUUGUAUGGAAAAGAAGGACUUUAUAGGCAGUAAUACUUCAAGAAGUCAAGACGUUCUCCUUUGUACGGGGAGACACUUAAGCCCUUCAUGGGAUUUGGGGGGGGGGAAGAGAAAGGGAAAAAAAAACCUAGAAUCUGUGGUAGCUCAUCCUUGAAGGACAUACAGUUCCACUGCACAGCUGCAUAGGAAAAGAUACUCACUUUGUUCUGCUUUAUAUUUUUUUGUUAAAGGUCUGGAGCUUAAAUUUUAAAGCAAGCCUUCGGGAACACACUGUGAUGCAGACCAUCAGUAUGAAUAAAAU
Gallus gallus (chicken) is the source of this 1337-nucleotide long non-coding RNA. Lineage: Eukaryota; Metazoa; Chordata; Aves; Galliformes; Phasianidae. The record is from Ensembl.